GCGCUUGCCAGCCCGCUCAGAACUUAAAGGAUUGACGGGGCCCGCACAAGCGGAGGAGCAUGUGGUUUAAUUCGAUGAUACGCGAGGAACCUUACCUGGGCUUAAAUGCUUAAUGACGUACUGGGAAACUGGUAUUUCUUCGGACAUUUUGCAAGGUGCUGCAUGGUUGUCGUCAGCUCGUGCCGUGAGGUGUCGGGUUAAGUCCCAUAACGAGCGCAACCCCUAUUGUUAGUUGCCAUCAGGUCAUGCUGGGGACUCUAACAAAACUGCCCGCGUAAGCGUGGAGGAAGGUGGGGAUGACGUCAAAUCAGCACGGCCCUUACGUCCAGGGCUACACACGUGCUACAAUGGCCGGUACAGAGGGCAGCCACUUGGUGACAAGGAGCAAAUCUCAAAAGCCGGUCUCAGUUCGGAUCGGAGUCUGCAACUCGACUCCGUGAAGUUGGAUUCGCUAGUAAUCGUAGAUCAGCAAUGCUACGGUGAAUACGUUCCCGGGCCUU
RNAcentral lists this ribosomal RNA (500 nucleotides) under uncultured Bacteroidota bacterium. Its description in RNAcentral is "bacterial SSU rRNA". It matches the Rfam family "Bacterial small subunit ribosomal RNA", at positions 904 to 1382 of the family's 1533-position model. The record is from RNAcentral. Lineage: Bacteria; Pseudomonadati; Bacteroidota.